This 6825-nucleotide long non-coding RNA is filed under the name Sus scrofa (pig). RNAcentral's name for it is "lncRNA (ENSSSCG00065025398.1)". The record is from RNAcentral. Lineage: Eukaryota; Metazoa; Chordata; Mammalia; Artiodactyla; Suidae.
UUUUUUUUUUUUUUUUUUUUUUUUCAGGGCUGCUCAUGCAGCAUAUGGAAGUUCCUAGGCUAGAGGUCAAAUUGGAGCUGCAGAUGCCGGCCUACACCACAGCCACAACAAUGCGGGAUCUGAGUCACAUCUGCAACCUACACCACAGCUCACGGCAAUGCUGAAUCCUUAACCCACUGAGUGGGGCCAGAGGUCAAACCCACAUCCUCAUGCAUACCAGUUGGGUUUUGGGUUUGUUACCACUGAGACACAACAGGAAUUCCCAAAACAAGAUAUUUUAGAAUACAGACAUAUGCAAGCGUAUAUUCUAUUUGCUGACAGCAUAUGUGUCAUCACAUAUCGCAGAGCAUCUGGAAGAAAGAAUGAGAGUAGCAAAAAAAAAAAAACUCUUAGCAUUGUUGUGAAAAUAGUUUUUUUCCCACAGUCUUUCUGAAAGGGUCUUCACACCAGGGAUCCCCAGACCACGCUUUGAGAAUCAUGCCCCAAAGUAAUAAUUUGUUGUUGUUGUUGUUGUCUUUCAUGUUUUUAGGGCCACACCCGCAGCAUAUGGAGGUUCCCAGGCUAGGGGGUCUAAUCAAAGCUGUAGCUGCCAGCCUACACCUCGGCCUCAGCAACGCCAGAUCUGAGCCGUGACUACGACCUACACCACAGCUCAAGGAAAUGCCGGAUCCUUAACCUGCUGAGCGAGGCCAGGGAUUGAACCCACAAUCUCACGGUUCCUAGUCGGAUUCAUUUCUGCUGCGCCACAAUGGGAACUCCCCAAAGUAAUAAUUUUUAUACUACUUUAGUUUAAUUUUUUUCCCUCUAACUUGAAGUCCCCUCUCCCUAAUACCUGUAGCUUUGCUUUUAAUGAGACAUCAAAUAUGGUCAUUUUAAAAUGUAUGAUACAUAAUUAUUGCCAAGAGCAUAAAUAUAAAUGUUAUUUUUUUAUAAUUAACAACUACUAACUUGAGGUUGUUUAGAGGACAUUUGCACAUUUGUCAGUUCUGGAGCAUAGACUGAAAUCUGGUCUUGAGGGAUUUCUUUUAUGGUUUUCAGGUCAGUCUUGAUAAUAUUCAUAUUAUGGCAAUGCAUCAUAAUAAUGUCCAGUUAACAAAGUUUUUGCAUUCCACUGUCCUGUAGAGGUACUAUUAAUUCAGAACAACUUUAAGUGUGAUUUCUACCUUCCUUCCUUUCCAAAGUGGAAACACUAUUCACUCACACAUUUGAAAUACAAAGAACAAAAAUUAAGUUAUAAUUUAGCUUUCUCAUUUUUCCACUGAAAAAAGAUACUAGACUCAAAGACUUAGUGUUAAAAUUAGACUAUUACAAUUCUCAAGUAUUUGCUUUUGUUUCCUUACUUGUCCUCCCAUCUCUACCCCUCCCUCCCCCAAAAGGCUAUGAGCUCCUGAAAGACAGAAUUAUCUUGUUCAUUUUUGUCCCCUUAGGUUUUGGUCUAAUACCUGGUACAUAAUUAGCUUGACAAAAGGGUGUUUAUGGAUCAUUGAAUCAACAAAUAAAUAAUGUCUCCUUAAGUAAAAGAAAGUUCAACUUUCUAAUUUUUCAAUAGGUAUACUUAUAUUUUUAUAUUUAUAGACUUUUGAAGGACUCUGUUGUGCUUUUAGUUUGCACUGACUAUGUUUACAGCACUUCUACAGGGUUCUCUCUUACCUGAGGUGGUAGGGAGUACCAGUACUGGUGGAUCCUUUUGUCCUUGCCUCCUCUUGCAGUUCUGUGGUAGACCAAGCACUUGAACUUUUGCACUUAAUGAUCUUUGUGGCAUUUAACAGGACCUUGUUAGGGAGUGACCACACUUGCUGGCAGUGUGUGUGUGUGUGUGUGUGUGUGUGUGUGUGUGUGUGUGUGUGUGUGUGUGUAGGCACAACAGUCUGCUUUGACCCAGUGGGGAGAAAUGUGAACUGAUUAUAUAUGCUACAGUCUUCUCCUUCUCCAUGUUCUUUUAUAAAUUACUUCUCUCCCUUUCUCCUCAUAUCAGUAGGAAGGUAUUUUUCCCCAAAACUCAAAUAGAGUUUAUCACCUCAGUUUACCCCAAGGCAUAGCUCUUUGAAUAGCCAUUCCAGGUGGGCCAAAAAUCAACCUAUUUCCCAGAAUAUGCUCUCCACCUAAGUUCUUAGCUCUCCAGGGGGAUCUGUGAGUUCCAUAAGUAAUUUCAUAAAACUUAGUACUUGAUGAACAUUCUAGAUCUACAGUGUAUGUCUGUAGUCUACAGUGUAUGUGUGCAUAUAUAUAUAUGUAUAUAUACUUAUUAUAUACGUGUAUGUGUAUGUGUGUAUAUAUGUAUGUAUAUGUAUAUAUGUAUGUGUGUAUGUAUGUAUAUGUAUAUAUAUGUAUAUUAUAUGUGUGUGUGUGUAUAUAUAUGUAUGUAUGUAUGUAUUCAUUUUAUUGACACUCCUGCAGCUUAUGGAAGUUCCCAGGCCAGGGAUCAAACCCACACCUCUGCAGCAACAUGAGCCACUGCAGUUGGAUUUUUAACCCAUUGUCACACAGCAGGAACUCCUACAGUGUUAUUUUUUAAAAGGUGUUUAUAGUUGAGUUUUUUACUGUAAUAAAGUUGACUUCAAAUGCCAUCUAAAGUGAUAGGGGUUGACUUUUAUCUGUGAGAGUUCUCUAAAAAUUUGUUUUUCCUUGGAAAGGAAUCUUUACAUUAUUAAAGCUUUGAGAACCUGGCUCAGAUAAUUUCUUUUAAUAGUAAAUAAGCAUAGCUACUGAAGUUUUUUGCUGAAUGGCAGUUGCUGGUUGAAAAAAGUCUGUAAUUUACUAAUUUAACCCUUUUUACAAGUCUUGAAUUUUCUUUUUGUUUUUGUUGAAUGUACAUGCAGUGACAUAGCAGGUAAGGAUGUUUCCCUGAUAUGUUAUAGCAGUCUCUAGUUGGACCGUCAAAUUUGCUACAGUCACAUCCUCACCUUUGAUCUAAACUUCCACACCAUUGCCCACCUCCCUGGAUUAAGAAGGCACAAAACUUCUGCCUGCAGUUAUGCAUUUCUUCCUCAAAUUUUAAUGAAGUAAAAUUUAAAAAAUUUACAAAUGGGAAGCCGAGUAUAAGAAGUUCGUUUUCAUUAUUUUUGAUGACUGAUUUCCUUCAUGAUGGUUUUCUUUACUUUAGAACAAGCACAUGCUUUCCAGAGCAGAUGACAGUAUAGAUCGACACUGGAGAUUAUUGAAGCAUAGUUGAUUUACAAUAUUGUGUUAAUUUCUGCUGUACAGAAAAAUGAUUCAGUUAUACAUACAUAUAUAUAUAUUUUUUCAUAUUAUUUUCUAUUAUGGUUUAAUCACAGGAUAGUCAAUAUAGUUGCCUGUGCUAUACAAUAGAACAUUGUUAUUUAUCCAUUCUAUAUAUAAUAGUUUGCAUCUGCUAACUCCAAAUUCCCAAUCUACCCCUCCCCCACAAUCCUUCACCCUUGGCAACCACAAGUCUGUUCUCUCUGUCCAUGGAUCUUUCUGUUUGGUAGAUAUGUUCAUUUGUCUCAUGUUUUAGAUUCCAAAUAAAAGUGAUAUCAUAUAGUAUUUUUAUUUUUCUGACUUACUUCAUUCAAUUUGAUAAUCUCUAGUUCCAUCUAUGUUGGCGCAAAUGGCAUGAUUUCAUUCUUUUUUAUGAUUAAGUAAUAUUCCAGUGUAUAUAUGUACCACAUCUUCUUUACCCAUUCUUAUGUCACUGAACAUUUAGGUUCCAUGUCUUGGCUAUUGUAAAUAGUGCUGCUAUGAAUAUAGGGGUGUGUAUAUGUUUUUGAAUUAGAGUUUUGACUGGAUAUAUGCCCAAGAGCCAGAUUGCUAGAUCAUAUGGUGACUCUAUUUUUAGUUUUUUGAGGAACCUCCAUACUGUUUUCCAUAGUGGCUGCAUCAGUUUACCUUCAAACAUAUGUAGUAGCAUUCUCUUUUCUCCACACCCUUUCUAGCAUUUAUUGUUUGUGGACUUUUAAAUGAUAGUUAUUCUGAUUGGUGCAAGGUGAUACCUCACUGGAGUUUGGAUUUGCCUUUCUCUGGUAAUUAGCAAUGUUGAGCAAUUUAGAUUUUAAAUUUAAAGACUUAAAACCCUUAAAAAAAAUUGGCUUCCUCUUUACUCAGCUAGUGACUUGGAAAUAGUAAUAGCCAGAAUAGAAUUCAGUGCUUGCCAAAAGUAUUCAGGAAAUGUUUUCUUAUUUCCUUGGAAUUGCCUAAAGCAUUGUUUUUCAUAAUUCACAGAAGUUUGGCUUUCAGAGCCAUUCUGUUUCCAAAUUCUUUUGUAAAUUCCUAGAAAGAAUUCUCUAAAAAUGUAUUCAUUUAUUUGUUUAUUCAUUACACUUACUGAGCACCUGGUUUGUGAGAGAGACUAUGCCAAGAACUAAAGGCAAGGAAAAAAAAAAUGAUACUUUUUGUCUAGUGGAAAAAAUUGAAUUUCAGGAGCAUUAGAAUUUUAAGAUGAUCAUAUCUAAUAUACUCAUGAACAGAUGGAGAAACUGAGGCCCAGAGAGUUUAUAUGACCUAAAGUAGAAUUAAGUUAAAAACAGUUUAUUUGAUUUACAAAGGCAAUUUGAAUUGAAACACUUUUGAAACACCAAUACUUCUUUUAUAUUGAGUUAAGAAUUUUUUUUUAAUGUUCUAAAAUUAACAAAUAAGGUCAGUGCUCAAUUUCCUGGGUCAGUGCCACAUGGUGCCCUUUGUCCUUGGAACCAGUCCAUGGUCUGGCUUGGCAACUGAAAGACCCAAUGACCUGAGUUUGGCCAUUAGUAUAGGGGUUUUAGUGUCUACUGACUAAAUGUACUUGGGAUACCCAUUUGCUCAGGUAUUGGGGAUCAGCCUUUUGUUACAGAACAUCACUAUUUCUGUUAAGCUCAUUUUUCAAUAUUUUGAAUUAUAUAUUUAAAUUCUUGAAAAUUUAAAUUAACAAAUCAGAAGCUUCUAGUAAUUUUAACGAUAAAAAGUUCUGACUUUUGUAUUGAUUUAAAAAUAGAAACAGUCUUGAAUUAGAGUAAAAACAUUUUCAUUUAAUUAGAUUUAACAUGAACAUUCUGUCCCCUGCUGGGAACUCUAAGAACUACAUCACCGGUACCACCAAUUUUUCUAUGGUCAUAGGGACUUUAGGUUAAACCUUGAAUUCAGUUUUCUAUAUGUUCUUUCCUUUGUUUUGGUAAUACACAGAAAAUUUUUAAAUAAAAUCUGUAAGGCAUUACUUUUAUUAAGGUUCAAUAUCUGUUAAAUAUUGCACAUUUUUGCAUGAUAUAAUGAAUCUAAAUACACUGUAAUAAAAUCAAAUCUUCACCUUCAUUUUAAAUAUGAAUAAAUAUUUUUCAUCUUCGCUCAAACUUAGAGGAGAAAUCUGAUGAGAGAGCAGGUGAAAUUUAAAUACUUGAUUAAAAUAUUUGAUUUUUUUAAAAUAUUCACUGUUUGGUUGUAGGUAGACAUCGAGUAUAUUUAUAUACAACAUUGCCCUACCCAUAGAAAGGAGUGGGUAAUCACUUGAGCAAGUGCAAAGUUAUGGACUGGAGUAUGGACUAUGGGACAAACCAACAAUUUCUUGGGUGUAGCUGGAACGGUGUAUACAUAGGAUAUUUAUCAGUGUGGAGUGGAGAACAAAUGCGAGACUAGAAAUAAGAUGAUAAAACCUUCCCUCUCCAAAACCUAUGAAUAAUAAACACUUUUGCCAGCUAGUAUCUAUGAGCUCUCUGGCUUUGGACAACUUAGAAACUUUCAUUUCCUCAUCUGCAAAGUGGAAAUAUUAGUCAAGUUGUGAGGACUAAAUGAAAUAAUGAUGUAAAGUACCAAGAACAGAGUCUGGGGCUAAGUAAAUGCUUAAUAAAUACUAAAUAUUGAAAUCAUUGUCAACAUCUAACAACAGUAAUACCAGUAGAAACCUAACAAUUUUUAUAUCACUGAUAUUAAUUUGUUAGAAAUCUUAAUUGAAAAUAUAUAAAUUUAAUUUUUGUAAAGAGAAUACAUAUGAUAUACUCAGAGGAAGAUCUAAAGCAAAAUCACUAGAAAACUAGAAAGAAAACAGUGGGAAAAGAUCUUUCAGGCAAAUGCUAACAAAAAGAAAGCUGUAGUCAUGAUAGUAGGAUAAAAUUUAAGGUAGAAAGUAUAAUACAAGGUGAAGGAGGAAAUCUUAUGAUGGCAGAAGCUCUACAGAGAAGGUAUACAUUUCAUAAACCUUAAAGCAUUGAAUAAUAUAAUAAUAAAAAUACAUAAAGAAAACUGCAGAACUACAAGGAAAGAUAGAAAGUAGUACUAGUCUACUUUAAUUCACUUCAUGGAUUAAGAUGUCAAAAUUGGUACGGAUAUAUUUGGAUGAUAAAGUCAAUGAGGUUGAUGAAAUAGAUUUGGUUGAUGAAAUAGAUGAAAUAGGUAUCGUGUUAUCUGAAAACCAAUCUUAGUUUUAAAAGUUCAUGAAACAUUUACCAAACUAACUAUACAUUGGCCCACAUACACACACAGAAAUCUCUUAAUUAAUUCCCAAAAUUAGAACUAAUCCAGACUACAUUCUCUGAUAACUAUGCAAUUCAACAAAAAUGAGUGAACAAAAUAAAAGUGAAGAUUAUAUUUUAAAUAUAAACACUACUUAAAACAACUUUGGUGCAAAAAGGAAAUAAAACUGUUUUUGCAGAAUGUGUACAAAAUAAUAAUUAAAACAUUACACACCAAAACCUAUAGAAUACAACUACUACUGUGUUCAGCAGAUAGUCAUGGUUUAAAACAGGAAUACAAGAAAGAAGAAAAACAACAUACUGUUUAACUAAAAAAAUUAGAAAGUGAGAAGUUCUCCUAUGGCACAGCAGGUUAAGGAUCUAGUGUUGCCAUAGCUGUGGUGCAGAUCUCAACUGCUGUGUGGAUUCAAUCCCUGGCCCAGGAACUUCU